RNAcentral lists this ribosomal RNA (477 nucleotides) under uncultured bacterium. RNAcentral's name for it is "partial 16S ribosomal RNA". It matches the Rfam family "Bacterial small subunit ribosomal RNA", at positions 29 to 507 of the family's 1533-position model. The record is from RNAcentral.
AUUGAACGCUGGCGGCAUGCCUUACACAUGCAAGUCGAACGGUAACAGGUUAAGCUGACGCGUGGCGACCGGGUGAGUAAUGUAUCGGAACGUGCCCAGUCGGGGGGGAUAACUGCUCGAAAGAGCAGCUAUUACCGCAUACGACCUGAGGGUGAAAGCGGGGGAUCGCAAGACCUCGCGCGAUCGGAGCGGCCGCGAUCAGUUUGGGUAGUUGGUGAGUUAAGGGCUCACCAAGCCGGCGAUCUGUAGCUGGUCUGAGAGGACGACCAGCCACACUGGGACUGAGACACGGCCCAGACUCCUACGGGAGGCAGCAGUGGGGAAUCUUGGACGAUGGGCGCGAGCCUGAUCCAGCCAUGCCGCGUGCGGGAAGAAGGACUUCGGGUUGUAAACCGCUUUUGUCAGGGAAGAAAAGGUUCUGGCUAAUACCUGGGGCUCAUGACGGUACCUGAAGAAUAAGCACCGGCUAACUACGUG